GUGGGGAAUUUUGGACAAUGGGCGCAAGCCUGAUCCAGCCAUUCCGCGUGCAGGAUGAAGGCCUUCGGGUUGUAAACUGCUUUUGUACGGAACGAAAAGCCUCUGGUUAAUACCCGGGGGUCAUGACGGUACCGUAAGAAUAAGUACCGGCUAACUACGUGCCAGCAGCCGCGGUAAUACGUAGGGUGCGAGCGUUAAUCGGAAUUACUGGGCGUAAAGCGUGCGCAGGCGGUGAUGUAAGACAGUUGUGAAAUCCCCGGGCUCAACCUGGGAACUGCAUCUGUGACUGCAUUGCUGGAGUGCGGCAGAGGGGGAUGGAAUUCCGCGUGUAGCAGUGAAAUGCGUAGAUAUGCGGAGGAACACCGAUGGCGAAGGCAAUCCCCUGGGCCUGCACUGACGCUCAUGCACGAAAGCGUGGGGAGCAAACAGGAUUAGAAACCCGUGUAGUCC
Molecule: ribosomal RNA, 450 nt
Filed under: uncultured bacterium
Lineage: Bacteria
Description: partial 16S ribosomal RNA
Rfam family: Bacterial small subunit ribosomal RNA
Source: RNAcentral